This 492-nucleotide ribosomal RNA is filed under the name uncultured bacterium. Its description in RNAcentral is "partial 16S ribosomal RNA". It matches the Rfam family "Bacterial small subunit ribosomal RNA", at positions 29 to 507 of the family's 1533-position model. The record is from RNAcentral.
AUUGAACGCUGGCGGCAUGCUUUACACAUGCAAGUCGAACGGUAACAGGCCUUCGGGUGCUGACGAGUGGCGAACGGGUGAGUAAUGCAUCGGAACGUACCCAGAGGUGGGGGAUAACGCAGCGAAAGCUGUGCUAAUACCGCAUGUGAUCUGAGGAUGACAGCGGGGGACCGAGCAGCAAUGUUUGGCCUCGCGCCUUUGGAGCGGCCGAUGUCGGAUUAGCUAGUUGGUGGGGUAAAGGCCUACCAAGGCGACGAUCCGUAGCUGGUCUGAGAGGACGACCAGCCACACUGGGACUGAGACACGGCCCAGACUCCUACGGGAGGCAGCAGUGGGGAAUUUUGGACAAUGGGCGCAAGCCUGAUCCAGCAAUGCCGCGUGCGGGAAGAAGGCCUUCGGGUUGUAAACCGCUUUUGGCAGGAACGAAACGGUGUCCGCUAAUACCGGGCGCUAAUGACGGUACCUGCAGAAUAAGCACCGGCUAACUACGUG